RNAcentral lists this long non-coding RNA (241 nucleotides) under Sorghum bicolor (sorghum). Its description in RNAcentral is "long non-coding RNA (SBIC_LNC012022)". Lineage: Eukaryota; Viridiplantae; Streptophyta; Magnoliopsida; Poales; Poaceae. The record is from RNAcentral.
GUGGCAACAUGUGAAGUUUACUUCUAGUAUUUACUUAAUUUCAUUCCAAAUUCUUCGCAAUCUCCACACCAACGCGUAGGGUGUAAUGACUUGGGUUUUUUUGGGCAACACAAAAGUACAAGAUUUUAAUUUUUUUUCUACAAAAUUGUGAAUGAUGCUUGCUCAUGUAGAUUAGUAGCCUAGUUGCAUGGUGAUUUUAGGUUAAACCCCAAUACAAGCAUACACAUUUAUUUAGGCCUUU